AAAGUAGCAAUACUUUGGUGGCGACCGGCGCACGGGUGAGUAACGCGUAUGCAACCCAUCUAUCAGAGGGGAAUAACCCGGCGAAAGUCGGACUAAUACCGCAUAAAACAGGGACACCGCAUGGUGAUAUUUGUUAAAGAAAUUCGCUGAUAGAUGGGCAUGCGUUCCAUUAGGUAGUUGGUGAGGUAACGGCUCACCAAGCCGACGAUGGAUAGGGGAACUGAGAGGUUGGUCCCCCACACUGGUACUGAGACACGGACCAGACUCCUACGGGAGGCAGCAGUGAGGAAUAUUGGUCAAUGGGCGAGAGCCUGAACCAGCCAAGUCGCGUGAAGGAAGAAGGAUCUAUGGUUCGUAAACUUCUUUUGCAGGGGAAUAAAGUGCAGGACGUGUCCUGUUUUGUAUGUACCCUGAGAAUAAGGAUCGGCUAACUCCGUGCCAGCAGCCGCGGUAAUACGGAGGAUCCGAGCGUUAUCCGGAUUUAUUGGGUUUAAAGGGUGCGUAGGUGGUUUGAUAAGUCAGCGGUGAAAGUUUGCAGCAUAACUGUAAAAAUGCCGUUGAAACUGUCGGACUUGAGUGUAAAUGAGGUAGGCGGAAUGCGUGGUGUAGCGGUGAAAUGCUUAGAUAUCACGAAGAACUCCGAUUG
This 646-nucleotide ribosomal RNA is filed under the name uncultured Bacteroidales bacterium. RNAcentral describes it as "bacterial SSU rRNA". It matches the Rfam family "Bacterial small subunit ribosomal RNA", at positions 73 to 715 of the family's 1533-position model. The record is from RNAcentral. Lineage: Bacteria; Pseudomonadati; Bacteroidota; Bacteroidia; Bacteroidales.